Molecule: small nuclear RNA, 105 nt
Filed under: Octodon degus (degu)
Lineage: Eukaryota; Metazoa; Chordata; Mammalia; Rodentia; Octodontidae
Source: RNAcentral
GUGUUCACUUUGGCAGCACAUACACUUAAAAGUAGGAAGAUAAAGAGAUUAGUAUGGCCCCUAUAGAAGGGUGACACAUAAAUUCAUGAAGGGUUCCAAAGUAAA